CCCUCUGGGGUGCAGCAGGCUUUGGAGAAGCGCUCGCUCCGCACGGAAGUGUCCGAACUCCGUCGUCAGGUCGGCGCCCAACGCGAGGCGCCGUUGCUCAUCGGAAACAGCCCCGGGAUGGAGGCGCUCAAGCGCACCAUCGAACAGGUGGCCCCGAGCGACUGCAACGUGCUCAUCCUUGGCGAGACGGGGACGGGAAAGGAACUGGUGGCGAAGACCGUCCACAAGUUCAGUCUGAGGGCCGAAAAACGCUUUAUGGCGAUCAAUUGCGGGGCAUUCAACGAGGAGCUGCUCUCGAACGAGCUUUUCGGACACGAGAAAGAAGCUUUCACGGGUGCGCGCGGAGUGAAGCGCGGCGUCUUCGAGGUGGCGGCGGGGGGGC
Molecule: ribosomal RNA, 382 nt
Filed under: uncultured prokaryote
Description: partial 16S ribosomal RNA
Source: RNAcentral